This 258-nucleotide ribosomal RNA is filed under the name uncultured archaeon. RNAcentral describes it as "partial 16S ribosomal RNA". It matches the Rfam family "Archaeal small subunit ribosomal RNA", at positions 748 to 1008 of the family's 1478-position model. The record is from RNAcentral.
CAGCCGUAAACUAUGCGCGUUAGGUGUACUGGUGACCACGAGUCACCGGGUGCCGAAGGGAAACCGUGAAACGUGCCGCCUGGGAAGUACGGUCGCAAGGCUGAAACUUAAAGGAUUGGCGGGGAGCACCACAACGGGUGGAGCCUGCGGUUCAAUUGGACUCAACGCCGGAAAUCUCACCGGAUAGGACAGACAUAUGAUAGUCGGGCUGAAGACUCUACUUGAUGAUCUGAGAGGAGGUGCAUGGCGUCAGUGACU